This 301-nucleotide ribosomal RNA is filed under the name uncultured bacterium. RNAcentral describes it as "partial 16S ribosomal RNA". It matches the Rfam family "Bacterial small subunit ribosomal RNA", at positions 509 to 807 of the family's 1533-position model. The record is from RNAcentral.
CAGCCGCCGCGGGAAUACGAAGGGUGCAAGCGUUAAUCGGAAUUACUGGGCGUAAAGCGUGCGUAGGCGGUGAGUUAAGUCUGCUGUGAAAUCCCCGGGCUCAACCUGGGAAUGGCAAUGGAUACUGGCAAGCUAGAGUGUGUCAGAGGAUGGUGGAAUUCCCGGUGUAGCGGUGAAAUGCGUAGAGAUCGGGAGGAACAUCAGUGGCGAAGGCGGCCAUCUGGGACAACACUGACGCUGAGGCACGAAAGCGUGGGGAGCAAACAGGAUUAGAUACCCCUGUAGUCCCUGUCUCUUAUAC